GACGAACGCUGGCGGCGUGCUUAACACAUGCAAGUCGAACGGAAAGGCCCUGCUUUUGUGGGGUGCUCGAGUGGCGAACGGGUGAGUAACACGUGAGUAACCUGCCCUUGACUUUGGGAUAACUUCAGGAAACUGGGGCUAAUACCGGAUAGGAGCUCCUGCUGCAUGGUGGGGGUUGGAAAGUUUCGGCGGUUGGGGAUGGACUCGCGGCUUAUCAGCUUGUUGGUGGGGUAGUGGCUUACCAAGGCUUUGACGGGUAGCCGGCCUGAGAGGGUGACCGGCCACAUUGGGACUGAGAUACGGCCCAGACUCCUACGGGAGGCAGCAGUGGGGAAUAUUGCACAAUGGGCGGAAGCCUGAUGCAGCAACGCCGCGUGCGGGAUGACGGCCUUCGGGUUGUAAACCGCUUUCGCCUGUGACGAAGCGUGAGUGACGGUAAUGGGUAAAGAAGCACCGGCUAACUACGUGCCAGCAGCCGCGGUGAUACGUAGGGUGCGAGCGUUGUCCGGAUUUAUUGGGCGUAAAGGGCUCGUAGGUGGUUGAUCGCGUCGGAAGUGUAAUCUUGGGGCUUAACCCUGAGCGUGCUUUCGAUACGGGUUGACUUGAGGAAGGUAGGGGAGAAUGGAAUUCCUGGUGGAGCGGUGGAAUGCGCAGAUAUCAGGAGGAACACCAGUGGCGAAGGCGGUUCUCUGGGCCUUUCCUGACGCUGAGGAGCGAAAGCGUGGGGAGCGAACAGGCUUAGAUACCCUGGUAGUCCACGCUGUAAACGGUGGGUACUAGGUGUGGGGUCCAUUCCACGGGUUCCGUGCCGUAGCUAACGCUUUAAGUACCCCGCCUGGGGAGUACGGCCGCAAGGCUAAAACUCAAAGGAAUUGACGGGGCCCCGCACAAGCGGCGGAGCAUGCGGAUUAAUUCGAUGCAACGCGUAGAACCUUACCUGGGUUUGACAUGGAUCGGGAGUGCUCAGAGAUGGGUGUGCCUCUUUUGGGGUCGGUUCACAGGUGGUGCAUGCCUGUCGUCAGCUCGUGUCGUGAGAUGUUGGGUUAAGUCCCGCAACGAGCGCAACCCUUGUUCACUGUUGCCAGCACGUUAUGGUGGGGACUCAGUGGAGACCGCCGGGGUCAACUCGGAGGAAGGUGGGGAUGACGUCAAGUCCUCAUGCCCUUUAUGUCCAGGGCUUCACGCAUGCUACAAUGGCUGGUACAGAGAGUGGCGAGCCUGUGAGGGUGAGCGAAUCUCGGAAAGCCGGUCUCAGUUCGGAUUGGGGUCUGCAACUCGACCUCAUGAAGUCGGAGUCGCUAGUAAUCGCAGAUCAGCAACGCUGCGGUGAAUACGUUCCCGGGGCU
RNAcentral lists this ribosomal RNA (1346 nucleotides) under uncultured bacterium. RNAcentral's name for it is "bacterial SSU rRNA". It matches the Rfam family "Bacterial small subunit ribosomal RNA", at positions 28 to 1381 of the family's 1533-position model. The record is from RNAcentral.